UGUACUGAAGAAGACUUUAGCUCAGAUGGCAUCGCGUUUGAACUAUUGAUGCUAUCCGCUCACUCUACAAGGCACAGCAGAUUUCUAGGUAAUUCAAGUAGUUGUCGUGGGGGGAAAAAUUGAAGGAUGCAGUGGCAGGCACCAGAAUUUUAGAGAAUUCCAGCAGCAUCAGGUUCAGCUGAGAGAUUCCUGCUCGUCUUUGUAGAGGGAUCCUGUUCC
Molecule: non-coding RNA, 219 nt
Organism: Struthio camelus australis
Lineage: Eukaryota; Metazoa; Chordata; Aves; Struthioniformes; Struthionidae
Source: RefSeq, a predicted model, not a curated record